UUUUGUGGUUUUGCUUUUGCUUUUGAUGGCAACAGAUGCAAUUUGAUCUUGGAAGCUAAGCAGGGUCAGGCUUGGUUAGUACUUCAAAGGGACAUCACCAGUGAAUACCAAGUGCCGUAAACU
This 123-nucleotide ribosomal RNA is filed under the name Anolis carolinensis (green anole). Lineage: Eukaryota; Metazoa; Chordata; Lepidosauria; Squamata; Anolidae. The record is from RNAcentral.